Long non-coding RNA from Aphis gossypii (cotton aphid), 1623 nucleotides. RefSeq lists it as uncharacterized. The record is from RefSeq and is a predicted model, not a curated record. The transcript is spliced from 8 exons. Lineage: Eukaryota; Metazoa; Arthropoda; Insecta; Hemiptera; Aphididae.
UUUUUUUUAAUAAAUAAAAACUAAUUUUUGGAACUUAAUUUUGUUUGAAAAUAUUUAAAGAAGGUAAAUAAAUAAUAAAUAAUAAUUUAUAAUUUAUUGUAUUAUAUGAUAAAAAACAUACUUUGAAAAUAUACUCGUAGGUACAAGAAAUAACUCUUGUGUUCUUCAAAUAAAGAAUGUUUUAGGUAUAAUACUAUUUAGUUGGAGAUAUUUAGAUAGAACCUUGUGUUACUGUACCUCUAAAGAUUAGAAUAUUUUGAAUUAAUCCUGAAUAUAGUUGAUAAAUCUCAAAAUGUAUUUAUGCAUUGCAGAAACGAUGAUAGCUGUAAGUGCAAUCAUUCUUACAGAACAUCGUUCUAGAACAAUAACGGAAAAUACCAAAUACUUAGCUACAUCAUUCAAAUCCUCUUUCGUUCUCUUGACCAUUACUAGAAUCACCGCAGCUGCAUACGCUCCAACAAUUUUAUAAAGGCCACUUGUUAAAAGCAUUCAAUAUUGUCGUGCAUAAUUCAAGUUACCAAUGAAGUAACCGAAUUUUCCUUGUUUUGUAAUUUUUUUAUGUGCUUAAGAAUUUAAGAUAAUAACCAAUUCGUAUACCUAUAAGAAAUUAAGAAAUUCAAAAGUAUAAUGAAUAAGCUAUUAGUAUAAUAUGAAUCACCUAUAUGGACACAAAUAUUUUUUAAUACCUACAAGUGAAUCAAGGAUAACAUUUCAAAAUACAGACGACGAAUAUUCGAGGAACAAAGAUCUCGAACAAAAAGAAAAGUCAAAUCAACCCAAAGAUAUGCUUGCCACAAGAAUGUUCAGCGUGUUUAAAAACUCAUCAUCAAUAAGUCCAUUUAAAAGUAUAUUAUAUGUAUGUGUAAGAACAGCGGCACAAAAAUUAGAUUUCGUAAAAAAAAAAAAUCUUCGUGAUAAUUAACAGUAGUACACAUAAUAAUGUGUGUCAUAAAAUUUUAACAAAACUUUUACAUGACGCGUAGUGAUUUCAUUCACUUCAAUCGAGAAGAAAAAAAAUCUGCGGAUCUAGAACAUUGCAUAUUUUAAUAUUAUAGAACCGCGCACGGAGCAGAGAUUGCGAGACAAGAAUCUUACGGCGGCGGCGGCGGCGACGUUUGAUUGCAGUAUACAACAAUAAUAAUAACAAUCAUAAUAUUAUAUAUAAAUUAUAAUAUACCGACUUGUGCAGGUCGCCGACAGCAUCCUCUGCGACGAGAUAAUAACAAACGACAAUAUUAUUUCUCCGACAAUUAUACCUAUAGCAGCGCGUGGUUUACUCCACCGGGCCGAAAUCGGUAGUAUACCGGCAAUAUCAUUGCGUGCCGCCAUCUGGGUGAUACAUAGUGAGCAGAACGAUCGAGGACACCGCCAUCUCCCGAAAUCAGGACACUCGUUAAGAAACCAAUGCUGCUAAUAAACGUAGAACUUUAAACUAUUACAAUUAGUUACAACAUUAUUGUUAUAUUAUUUAUUAUGACGAAUUAUCGACAGUAAAUAAAAAUGAAUAACCGUCCAAAUCAUGGCUAGACAGCUUAGGUACCAAGAUGGCAAAUGAAUUUGAAAAUAUUAUUAAUUAUUAAGCAUGUUAUUUAAUUUAAAUAUAUCCAUACGUAUUAUACUUGA